CUUGAGAUAUUUCUCUUCACAUUUCCAAUCACUUUGGUUCCGUUGAAAUAUCCCCUUCGAAAAACUAAUUAAAACUAAUUUACAACAUAAAUAUGUAUAUCUUGUGGAUACUAUUUGUUUUAAUAAUACCAGCAACGUCCUUUUCAUGUGCACAACUUGUAACACAAAAUAAAAAGUCAUACAGUUUUUCGUCUGAAAUUGUUGACUAGAACAUAUUCCAAACAAGAACAAAAUCAAAGUGAACUGCGGGGAAUCCUAUGCAACUGAUUAGAGACAUUUUUAACGGUGUUUGUACACGGAUCAACACUUUGGAGUAAAAAUUAACUCACCACAAGCCGAACAAACUUACCUUUGUUUGUUAAUCAAGACUUCUAUGUAAACGUGAUUGGUAUGAGAUGUAC
RNAcentral lists this long non-coding RNA (401 nucleotides) under Mytilus galloprovincialis (Mediterranean mussel). The record is from RNAcentral. Lineage: Eukaryota; Metazoa; Mollusca; Bivalvia; Mytilida; Mytilidae.